RNAcentral lists this ribosomal RNA (549 nucleotides) under Streptomyces harbinensis. Its description in RNAcentral is "bacterial SSU rRNA". It matches the Rfam family "Bacterial small subunit ribosomal RNA", at positions 73 to 635 of the family's 1533-position model. The record is from RNAcentral. Lineage: Bacteria; Bacillati; Actinomycetota; Actinomycetes; Kitasatosporales; Streptomycetaceae.
GUGGGUAGGCGUCGGCGGGGAUAGUGGCGACGGGUGAGUAACACGUGGGCAAUCUGCCCUGCACUCUGGGAUAAGCCCGGGAAACUGGGCUAAUACCGGAUACGACACUCCGAGGCAUCUUGGGGUGUGGAAAGUUCCGGCGGUGCAGGAUGAGCCCGCGGCCUAUCAGCUUGUUGGUGGGGUAAUGGCCUACCAAGGCGACGACGGGUAGCCGGCCUGAGAGGGUGACCGGCCACACUGGGACUGAGACACGGCCCAGACUCCUACGGGAGGCAGCAGUGGGGAAUAUUGCACAAUGGGCGAAAGCCUGAUGCAGCGACGCCGCGUGAGGGAUGACGGCCUUCGGGUUGUAAACCUCUUUCAGCAGGGAAGAAGCGAAAGUGACGGUACCUGCAGAAGAAGCACCGGCUAACUACGUGCCAGCAGCCGCGGUAAUACGUAGGGUGCGAGCGUUGUCCGGGAAUUAUUGGGCGUAAAGAGCUCGUAGGCGGUUUGUCGCGUCGAUUGUGAAAACCUGGGGGCUAAACCCUGGGUCUGGAGUCGAUACGG